AUCCCAUUGGCUGGAGAUUUAUUGCCUUUCCCUCUAACUCAUCUUGCACUUGCUGUUCCUUGUGUUAUAACAUAUACCAUAGAUGUGUUUUUUUGGAUUUGCGAUGGAGAGCCAUGAUGUCCAACAUUCUAGCUACUGAGCCACCUAUCUCCAUGAAAAAAAAAAUUACCCUGGAAGGCAAGACAAGAGAGCAAUGGGGAGAUCAAAACUAAAAGCUGCAGAAAGAAAGGCUGAUCAAAAUCAAGAAUAGCAAUCUUCUGAUUAGGAAGGACAGUAGAAAUGGUUAAUAGGACUACAACCC
Phascolarctos cinereus (koala) is the source of this 301-nucleotide non-coding RNA. NCBI's taxonomy places the organism in Eukaryota, Metazoa, Chordata, Mammalia, Diprotodontia, Phascolarctidae. The record is from RefSeq and is a predicted model, not a curated record.